RNAcentral lists this ribosomal RNA (301 nucleotides) under uncultured bacterium. Its description in RNAcentral is "partial 16S ribosomal RNA". It matches the Rfam family "Bacterial small subunit ribosomal RNA", at positions 509 to 807 of the family's 1533-position model. The record is from RNAcentral.
CAGCAGCCACGGUAAUACGGAGGGUGCAAGCGUUAAUCGGAUUUACUGGGCGUAAAGCGUGCGUAGGCGGCUUCUUAAGUCGGAUGUGAAAUCCCUGAGCUUAACUUAGGAAUUGCAUUCGAUACUGGGAAGCUAGAGUAUGGGAGAGGAUGGUAGAAUUCCUGGUGUAGCGGUGAAAUGCGUAGAGAUCUGGAGGAAUACCGAUGGCGAAGGCAGCCAUCUGGCCUAAUACUGACGCUGAGGUACGAAAGCAUGGGGAGCAAACAGGAUUAGAUACCCCCGUAGUCCCUGUCUCUUAUAC